CGGCAGCACUCCUUGGUCAGGCUGUGUCCUGCUCACACAGGUGCUCCCAUCAGGCACAGCAGCCGCACCUGGGCAGCUUUUCUCUGCCUGCUGGGAACCUGCUUGCCGAAACACUUUAAGCCACCAUUUAAAUGCUGCUUUAGAGACUUUUUGCCUUCAUUUUGAUUUAAGUUCAGAUCAGUACGUUGUCCUCUCCUUUAAACUGACGUCACUUUCUUUAGGAGCCUUAGCAUUACUCUAAACUGUGUCUUAAUUGCUGCUUACGCAUCCGUCAAAUGUGCACCAUCAUGAGUUCUCCAACAAACAACAGUGCAUUUUAUGAAUAAGAUCCUCACUUGCUACUGAGAACGAUAACAUUAGCUGGCAGCAUCUGGAUGCACUUCCAAAGUGAAGAUCCCGCUUUUCCCAGGCAAGGCUGAAAACACAGCUGGCAGAAGCUCGCCUGAAACCCACAGAAAGCUUUUCCCCCGUUCUUCGAACGCCAUCGUAAGCCAGCGAGCAGGAGGGAAGUUAAAGCUUACACAUCCCAGCACGCCAGCCCGUGCCCUACCGAGAUACUUGACUGUCUGGUGCUUCCAAGCAGCUGGAAAAAUGUCAAACUGUCAUCGCUGAUUAAAACGGGAUUUUACAGAGAGCAUCACACGCAUUGUCAGAACGCUAGGCUUCGUAUCGCACAACGGAAACACAGAAAGUCGUUACUUUCGAUUCACGGCAGAUUUUUGUCGCACCUCCCCCUGCGUUCUGCUACCACCCACGGCUGCGUUGCAUACGCACUCACCGGCCCCGCGCUGUGAGGGGACCCGGGGGCCGGGACACUGCAGCAGAGCCGCGGCCACAGCAGCGCACCCGCCCCACGCAGCACCACGAGACCUCGCGAGGGGAUUUACGGUCACUUACUCCAACGUGCCUCGCUCCUCAUCACACGGACCGCUUUGCGCACACGGUGUCCGAAGGCCGUGGGGGGACGGAGGACAGGCGGAAAUCGGGCGAAGGUGCCAAAUGACAUCCCUG
RNAcentral lists this long non-coding RNA (1011 nucleotides) under Numida meleagris (helmeted guineafowl). RNAcentral's name for it is "lncRNA (ENSNMEG00000016791.1)". Lineage: Eukaryota; Metazoa; Chordata; Aves; Galliformes; Numididae. The record is from RNAcentral.